This 391-nucleotide long non-coding RNA is filed under the name Lactuca sativa (garden lettuce). Its description in RNAcentral is "long non-coding RNA (LSAT_LNC000700)". The record is from RNAcentral. Lineage: Eukaryota; Viridiplantae; Streptophyta; Magnoliopsida; Asterales; Asteraceae.
AGGCGACGGUUGACCAGAAAAAGAUACUUCACUCCAAACAAUGGCGAUGAUCCUCCAUUAACACACACACACCGAUACUCCAAUUCUCUCUCUCUUGACAGCAAAGAAGAGAGAGAAACCCUCUUUCUCUCUCAUGGCAGUCACCACCUCCACUCCCAUUCGAUCUUUCUUUAUCCAAUCACCGAACAGCCACCACCGCCGUCACAGUCACCACCGCCACCAUACUCCCCUCAAUCUCAAAAUCGUCACCCAAACUCGCAAAACCCAUCUCUCUUUUACACUUAAUAAGCUCCACAACCGUACUCCCCCACUAACAAUCGCUUAUUCCGGUGGAAAUGGCGACGACGGUGUCGGUGGAACUGGAGGAGGAGGAGGUGGUGGUGGUGGUGGG